ACCAAGAAUCCAUGGCUGAAGGAGCUGAUGGAGGAGCCGUGCUGAAGGAGUUGAUGGAGGAGCCGUGCUGAAGGAGCUGUUGGAGGAGCUGAUGGAGGAGCCGAGCUGAUGGAGGUGUCGUGCUGAAGGCCCUGCCUGGUGGAGGCCCUGCCUGGUGAAGGAUGUCUGUCGUGGGACCAGGACUCUGUCGGAGGAGAGCUGCUGGAGGACGACUAGGAAUCGACCAACAAGGAUUCCUCAAUGUGUUUCUGGAGCGGAGGCGAGUUGGUAGGGGAGCCGCAAAUCUGGAGGACGACAUCACUCCACCAACCAGGAUCCUCGUCUAUCAUGGACAUGUAACUGCAGUUCUACGUUUGGGGCCAGGCUUGUGCUGUUUGUUCCAGACCAGGACUCUGGCUGAGGAGAGCUGAUGGAGGAGCCAAGACUCUGGAGGACGACAUCACUCUGCCAACUUGUUGGAACGCAGGAUUAGUUUGUCCAGUAAAAGACCAUGAAUCUGGAGGACUGAUGGAGAAGCCGUACAUCUAGAAGGCAAAUCCUGAGGACAACCAGAACUCUACCAUCAAGGAUUCCUCACACACCUGAACUGAACCUCACCUGAUCCUGUUUGGUCGGGGAUAGAAUCACCUGAGCUGAACCCUACCUGAUCCUGUUUGGUCGGGGGUAGAACCACCUGAGCUGAACCCGCCCUGAUCCUGACAUCCUGCUGGUCCUGUCUCCUCAGUUCAUCUGCGCCUCGUCCUCCAGAUGACCUGCUGAGCUCAGCGGUCUAAGGCUGAUGGAUCACUGACCUCCAGUGGGAGUGGUCUUCUUGACCCCACGUGUAACCGUGUGCUUCCACACGCCUUUCCCUCACGUCUGUCACUAACCUCACUACUCUCUACUGCUUCCUCUUCUUCUUCCUUCUCUGUGGUUCGAACCUUUACACUGAAGGCGCGUCUUCCUGCCCUCAGAGGGUUCAGCGUUAGGGUUGAGAGUCAGG
Gadus morhua (Atlantic cod) is the source of this 982-nucleotide long non-coding RNA. NCBI's taxonomy places the organism in Eukaryota, Metazoa, Chordata, Actinopteri, Gadiformes, Gadidae. The record is from Ensembl.